AAUGAACGCUGGCGGCAUGCCUAAACACAUGCAAGUCGAAACGAGACCCCUGACUUCGGUUGGCGGGUCUAGUGGCGCACGGGUGCGUAACGCGUGGGAAGUCUGCCCUUAGGUCCGGAAUAACUCAGGGAAACUUGAGCUAAUACCGGAUGAUGACGUAAGUCCAAAGAUUUAUCGCCUAAGGAUGAGCCCGCGUAGGAUUAGCUUGUUGGUGAGGUAAAGGCUCACCAAGGCGACGAUCCUUAGCUGGUCUGAGAGGAUGAUCAGCCACACUGGGACUGAGACACGGCCCAGACUCCUACGGGAGGCAGCAGUGGGGAAUAUUGGACAAUGGGCGAAAGCCUGAUCCAGCAAUGCCGCGUGAGUGAU
This 369-nucleotide ribosomal RNA is filed under the name uncultured bacterium. RNAcentral describes it as "bacterial SSU rRNA". It matches the Rfam family "Bacterial small subunit ribosomal RNA", at positions 29 to 409 of the family's 1533-position model. The record is from RNAcentral.